UAAAUUAGGUGAAUAUUUCUCGACGACCAGCUCCGUAGUUAGGAGCAGGUACGGCCUUAACCCCUUCAAUUAAAUAGAACAAUAUCAGUUUUAAUCUCUCUCAAAAUAUCCAUUUUAAACAUUUUUAAAGUGUCUCAAAUCUCAAUAUCGAAUCUUUAACUUUUCCCAGUAAGCAAUGAUCCUCUCUUAACUCCAAUAAACUUGUCAAAACAAUAUAAC
RNAcentral lists this long non-coding RNA (219 nucleotides) under Gossypium barbadense (sea-island cotton). Its description in RNAcentral is "long non-coding RNA (GBAR_LNC015203)". Lineage: Eukaryota; Viridiplantae; Streptophyta; Magnoliopsida; Malvales; Malvaceae. The record is from RNAcentral.